Molecule: long non-coding RNA, 1195 nt
Filed under: Mus musculus (house mouse)
Lineage: Eukaryota; Metazoa; Chordata; Mammalia; Rodentia; Muridae
Description: RIKEN cDNA A830008E24 gene, transcript variant 2 (A830008E24Rik)
Source: RNAcentral
CAGCUUGCGCUGGUGUCUAGAAAAGUCUGCACGGCAGAGCUGACUCUCGGGGAGCUUGCACUUCAAAAAAAAAAAUCGCUGUUGGGAGACAGACAGGGUGCUGCAUUGCCAAUUCGGGGCAAGCCCACCUUGAGGAGGAAGGCGGGAUGGGGGUGGUACACACCUCAGAGUUCUGGCCAGAAUUCUUGUUUUGCUGCCGCUGGGUUUUUCCCUAAGCAGAACAGGUUUUUCUCAGGCCAGCCAGGCUGCCAUGAACUUCUGGUCCCUUCAAGCAGUAAACACCACCAGCCACGGGUUUCAAUCUGCACUCUGGCGCCUCUUCCUCGUUUUCUUUCAAACUGCGGGUUUGAAAAAUUGGAACGCUCGGACUGGAGAGGAGGCUCGGAAUUAAGAGCACUCGCUGCUCUUGCAAAGAACUCGAUCCUGGGAUGUGCUGAGAUCUCCACUGGUGCCUACAAAGAAACACAAAUUCAUCAUAUCACAGUUGCAGCUGGCUUACAAAACCAGAGAUGCUGUUUCUCCAUCUUCUAAGGACCCCUAUGCUCAAGGCUGAGAACAACUGAGACUCCAAGGUCAUGUGACUUAGGAUUAUACUACUAAUUAUAGGCUGGAGACUGAGUUCAGACAUGCUCAUCAAUGCCUGGACCCUGCUUCCCAAGCUUCUCUGCGUCUGUGGGAAUUAUUGAGACCCUGCCUUAGCUCUUGCCAAGACCUGUGGGUGCAGAGCAGGGGACAGGGUGGAUUAUUCUGCUCUUUGAAAUGUCUAUUGGGUCAAACCUAUCUGGAAACUCAGAAGCCAAGCCAGGGAGUUUUGAACAUGGGGGUUAUAACAGUAUGGUGGGUAGGGAGGCAGCCAAUCGUCCAGCAUCUGGAAUGAAGCCACACCACACUCUUCCCUGUGCCCCCAGCCCUCAGGCUUGGAAGAGCUCCCUGCCCCACUCCCUCCCUUCCUCCCUUCCUUCCUCUGUCCCCUCCACUAAUGAAUGCUAUCACCUCUCCUGCCUCCCUUCUUAUACCAAAAAUCUCAUCUCCUCCUAGACCUAUAUACUAUAGAAACAAAACAAACAAGCAACAAUAAAACCCUAAAUUAACACAUAAUAGGUCACCCAGGCAAGCAUGAAUAAAUGUUGGAAGGUUUUUUGUUUUUUGGGUUUGUUUGUUUUUUUUUUUUUUUACUAUAAAUUCCUUAUGCCAA